UGUUGACAUAAGUCCCGUGUGUAGGGAUUUAAUCCCCUAUAAUGCUGUAAGUUGUGAGGGUACACUUCGUCCACUCCAUUUUACAGAUGAAGUAACUGAGGCACACAAAGCUUCGGAAUGUGCCCAAAGUCACCAAGCUAGGGAGGGCUGGGGUCAGGAUUCAAGCUUAAGUCCAUCCACUUCAGGAGCCUACGCUUUUAGCCACAAAGACUGCUUAUGUCCUGUCCAACUCUAAUUUUCUGGGCCUUAAAUAUUGAGAUACCAAGAGAAAACCUAUAAAGGAGUCUCAAGUGUAUCUGGUGAAGCUGAGUCCUUCACCUUCUUUCCUUUGUCCUCCAGCAUGAUUCCUAUGCUUACGACUACAGAGCAUCAAGCCAGUUUUCAAGUUUAUUGUGUGU
RNAcentral lists this long non-coding RNA (398 nucleotides) under Homo sapiens (human). RNAcentral describes it as "HSALNT0066133". The record is from RNAcentral. Lineage: Eukaryota; Metazoa; Chordata; Mammalia; Primates; Hominidae.